Paramacrobiotus metropolitanus is the source of this 738-nucleotide long non-coding RNA. RefSeq lists it as uncharacterized. Lineage: Eukaryota; Metazoa; Tardigrada; Eutardigrada; Parachela; Macrobiotidae. The transcript has 3 exons. The record is from RefSeq and is a predicted model, not a curated record.
UUGUUGCUAUCAAAGAGGCAUUUACAUUAUCGAAGCAGAAGUACAGACAUCUAAAAACUCAUAGUUUUCGUUAGAUAGCUUAUUUCACUUCUUUCUGGAUAAUUAGUGGUGUUAUCACAAUAUUUUUCCAUCCACUGUGUUAUUCCUUGUACGUAACAUCUUAACAUCAAAGGGCUCGACCUCAUUCCUCAUGUGACCUUGUCAAGCCAUGCCCAAAACCUGCUCAGACUGUGACACAUUACAGCAUCAGUUAGCGCAUGUUCUAGAGCAAUUAAACAGCGUACAAGCACAGUGUAAACGGUUCAAGGGAGAAAGGGACGCGUAUCACGAUUCCUGUGUUGCUUCACGGAUGGACGUCUUGAAAGACUGGAAUCUAUCGAAGCCUAUUCAUUACUGUUCAGCUUUAAACGGAUGAGCAUAGGAAAUAACACCACUGGUUUCAGGCAACAAAUUAUUCUUCGAUCAAAAAACAGCAGAUCACAGAGCUGAAGGACAAGGUGGCAUUGUAUCAGGAAACCAAUCAAAUGCUGUUCGAGAAGUGUGCACAUGCCAACGAUCUUGAAGACGAAAUCCGGCAGUUCUGCGUCCGCAGAGCAGUCCCGAAUGUAUGUCCACAAGACAAAGCUCCGCUCAACAGAUGGAACCAAAUUUAUUAGGAAAGUAUCCCAGUCGCGAAAUUGUUAUGAAGUGUCUAACUGAAUACAACGAAACUUUGGCCAAGGCGCGAUUCAAGUAUUA